CCUGCCAUCAUUAACUUCAGAAGAUGAUGCUCCAUUAUUCCGAGACUGUGAAGUCAGGGUUCUUGGAGAAAUAUAAUUUUCGGAACUCAGUGACCUUGUAUUUAAGGAAUCUUGACUAGAUCUUCGUGAAAAGAAGAUUCUUGAAAUGGUCUCUGAGACGAGCCAGCCCUUUCUGAACUGCUUAUAGUUGGAGUUUCAUUUCUACUUGAAAGAUAUGAAAAUGCAGGAUGUGAACUGUUUCGAAAAGAUUCUGAUUGUCUUGGAGAAAAAUGGGAUCUGAAAGAACUUCUACUAGAGUCCCUAGAACUUGGUACUGUCUGAUGCUCAGAAGGCAGUUGGUGAUUGGUGGAUGAAUUCAACUGUAAAGUGUUCGCGGCAUUCUCUUUUGGUCUUGCUCCCUGUGAAUAUGAAGAAGGAACUCUUUCUUGAACAUCUAUUUUUGAAAGAAGGGAAGGUAACCAAUUAUGAAAUAAUUUAAGCAUUAUUGAAUACACAUUUAUUGACUCCUGCCAAAUUGAAAGACUAGGGUUUGAAAUGAAUAGUGCUACCAUGUAACUAUACAGGAACUAUUAUAGAAAAAAAUAUAGAAAAAAAUUUACUUCUGAAGUACUCCCAAGGUAGAGUACAAACUCAAAGUAGAGGUCUACAUAUUCAAACACAAGUAUGAAAGCUUACUCAACAAAGCCGAUGAGGCAAGUUAAAGGCAAACUGAUACUGAUACACAACUUUAGGUCAAGUAAUACAGUGUAAUGAUAAAAAAUACAUUCCAGGAAAACAGUUCUGGAGAUUCUUCUUAUUCUAUGCAAAAAAUAUGAAGAUUAUUUUACAUGAAUGUUAUUGCCCAUAUGAUUUCAUGUUAUGUCAGGUAAGAAUGUCUAGCCCUUUAACAGUGGCUUGGAACCGUGCUCAAUACAGGCCUCUGCUAAUGUGCAUUUUCAAAAGCAGGGCAGGGAGGAGGGACACUGUCAGCACUUUGGUGGCAGAGGGAGGAGAAUCAGAGUUCCAGGCUCCUCUGGGUUACAGGGUGGCCUUGCCUCAAGGUCAACAAGAUAAAAAUAGACCUCCUUAACUAGUUGUUUCAAUCUGAGUGGGGAUAAGAAACACUUCCUAUAUACCUGGGUAGGAGGCACAUUUAUCACUGUAUUAAACUGUGGAGUUUAAUCUGACUGUGACUUAAAGGAGCACAAGCCCCACUCCUGCACGGCACUGCUAACUGAGCAGCACCCUUCUGUGUUCAGUACUAAGACGGUCAACUCUGAAAAGCUCAAGUCAAUGUGAGAAAAACCAUAUGUUUCAAAAUUUAAUUAAAAUCAAGACAAUCACACAGGUCCACAUAAUCCUUAAAAUGGUAAGCUGAGGGGUUAGGAAGAUGGCUCAGCAGUUAAGAACACUAGCUUUUUUGAAGGACAUGGGUUCUAUUCCCUGCACCUACACAGUGACUCACAGCUCAAAUUUAGAGGCUCUGUCACAGUACUCACUCCCUGGGCACUAGGCCCACAGUAGUGCAUAGUCAUACAUGUACCAUUAAACAGUGUAACCAGCAUAUAGUUAUUUCAUAAUCCAGCUAGAAGUACACAUUAAAACUGUUAUAGACAACUCACACUGUAGAAAAAAAUUAGCUGGUAAUACUUAUUAACAUGUAUAAAUUUUUUUAAAAGCAGACAGAACCUGAAUACUCAAGAACAGGUUUUAGACUGUUUAUAUUUUUUAGAGUAAAACAAAGAUACUAAAGAACAUUACAGUUCCGAUAUCUCCAUAAGAAAUUAAACUUCACGUCAUUUCCUCCAUUCUGAUUAAUGACACAGAGAACAACUGCAGUAACACACAAGCUGUACGUAACAACACAGUGUCUACAUACAUGCUGGAGCUGUGAAAUCCCCACUCCGGUGACUAUAGUCCAUAAGACUGCUAAUGGAGGAGUCCCUUCUCCUCUCCAGAUCUCUCCUCUCUCUCAUCAAGUCUGUUCCAAAUGAACCAAGGACCAUUGAAGAAGAUCUCGGAACUUGACCAGGCCUCCAAGAAGAAUCUUAAAGUAAAGUAAUGAAGUUUUGAGGUUCGUACAUCAUUAACAGUACAGUGAAGGCAGAUAUUCUCAUUAUAGCUAUCUCCAGUUAUAUAGUUACAAUCACAAGCCAGGUUUGGCAAAACAAAAUAAUUUACUAAUAAUCUAUUCACCUCCAAAUUAUCUUUCUGCUCAAAAUCCUUCUUUUUGGUGCUGAGGACCUAACCCAGGAUUUCAGAUAUGGUAAAUCUAUGUUACCAACACUGCAAACCUAUCCUCAUAAGGUAAAUGUCUCAGUCACUCUAUUAUGCCUGCCCAUGUACAAUGUAAUAUUAUGCUAAAAUAAUUAUAGAUCAAAAAUGAAACUUUGCCAAGGUACAGAACAUGUCAGAAACCACCAAAACCAAAACCAUAGUCCAGGCAUAGUGGCUUUAACCCCAGCACUAGGAGUGCAAAGGCAGAAUCAGGCAGGCAGAUUCUGUGAGUUCAAGGUCAGUUUGAUAUAUACAGUGAAGUUCUAAGUCAGCCAUGACUACAUAAUAAGACCAUAUCUCAAAAUAAAUACACUUUAAAACAAAACUAAAGCUAUUUUAAUCUGGUAAUUGAGUUACAGAACAAGCAAAUUUUGUCACAAAAAAGGUUUUUCUCCACCCUGGAAAUUGGAUGUAAAUGCUUGUAAAUUCUAAGUAUGUAUUAUAUCAGCUUCAGAAAUAUUUGCACUGUCACAUUUCACUCAUUUAUUCUAAGAAUUCAUCUAUUUCUGCAAUAAUACUCUGACUUUUAUUAGAUAGGAUCUUACUUAGAAGUAAACUAAAGUUAAUUCUCAAAUAUAUUGUCCACUCACUACCUUGAAAUUUUGUUUCUUCCUCUUCUAGCUUUAGAAUCUUGUUGUCCACACCACCUCCCGUUUUUCAAGAUAGGUUUCUAUGUAUAAGACAGCCCUGGCUGUUAUGGAACUUGCUUUGUACAUGAAUGAGGCUGGUCUCAAACUCAGAGAUCCACCGCAGUGCUGCCUAGGUGCUUGGAAUCAAAGUCAGACUCCACCUUGCUUGGCUUCGACAUUGAGGGAAUCACUCAGAGAGCUUAAUGUCACACCUUUACAUAGCAAACGAGAACAAAAAUGUGCCUACAAAGAUGGGGUUAGCCCGCUCUUACCCAUCUCGCUACCUUUAGCAACCCUCAGAGGUACAAUGUCUGCUCCUUAAAAUGGAGAGGAACUGCUCAUACUAAUUCAGUUGGUAAUGUACAAGCAUUUUAAGCUGGCCUACAAAGUGAGUUCUAGGACACAGAAAAAUCCUGUCUUGAGAAACCAAAAAAAAAAAAAAAAAAAAAAAGGCAGAAAGAAAGAAGAAAGUGUUCACAAAUUCUGUUUCCUUUUACAACUUUUUAUCUAACAUUUUACCGUAGCUGUUUCAGUAAGGAAGAGUUUCCUGCCCAUCUAACAAGAUUUCUUUUGAACAACACAUAAAUACAUAAACUUAAGAAAGGAAGCAGGGGGUUGGGGAUUUAGCUCAGUGGUAGAGCGCUUGCCUAGCAAGCCCUGGGUUCGGUCCCCAGCUCUGAAAAGAAAAAAAAGAAAGAAAAAAAAAAAAAAAAAGAAAGAAAAGAAAAAAAAAAAAAAAAGGAAGCAGUUGCCGUUCUUGUACACUUAGUAUGAGAGAACCAUGACUUUCUCAUUCCUUAUCUAGAGCUCUUAGCUUCCGACUUCUUUUUAAUUAAGAGUUUCCACAUUAUAUGAACAGUAUCAUAUACUAUGUUUAUCAGUGUAAAAACACACGGUGAGAAGGUGCUGAGAGAAUGCUUAAUGUCUGUCAGAUAUGGCUUUCACAGGAACACUUUAAAAACUUCUCUUUCAAAAUACGAAACAGAACUUCUGCUCAUGACUUUCACCAAUUUGAUUACUAUGCACUAAUGUUAGAGCUGAGAUAGUGACACAUGCCUUUAAUCCAUACACUAAGUUCUGGACCAGGCAAGGCUACACAGUGAGAAAGAAAACCACACCAAAAACAAAGCAGUCAUUCUACCUAAUUAAAAUCUACUAACAUUCUGUACGUAAAGCAAAAAAGGCAAAAUGAAGAGCUGGUUUAUUUUUACCACCAAUUUAAGGUAAAGUUCUGGAAACUAACUAAAUUUCCAAAUCCACUAUUGUAUAGAAACUAUUUAAUUAAAAAACUUAAGAAUCUUAGAGGUCCCCCCUUUGUGGUUCAAAACAUUCAUAAAUUAACUUUAACAGAAACUGCAUAAAUUCUUACCUGACAGUGUAUUUAAACCACUUCCAAUAUUUCUCCCAGCUGAGGUAGACGUACAGUUUGUACAAGAAAGUUUAGGUCUUUUUGAAUCAUGAUCCCUUUGCUGGUUUUGUGACCGUGACCGUGCUCCCUGAGUUAUCUCAGACUCACUGUACCAAGUAGACUGAUAUGGUGAUGCAGAUGCUGACGCUGAGGCAGACUAUAAAAAGAAAUUAAAAGGAAUAACUGUUGCUAUUUCUUAAGAUAUUUCAGAGAAGAUAGUAAUCUUUAAACAAUCAGGUUAAAGGCUGGUGGCAGGUAAGGUGGCUGCGCUGGGGAUUACAGUCUCUCGGAACCUAGGUAUGCACGACUGAGACAGACUGAUUAAUCACCUAACAUUAGAAGCAGGGUAUUACUAGCUGUAUUCUUAUUUUACCCACUGCUUUGUGCAUAUGCAAAGUCAAAUUAGUAUGUAUACUGAUUGGAGGAGGAUACUCACCACUUCGGUAUUAAAGUAAAGAAAGUUUACUCUAGUAUUUUUUUCCAAAUGCAGUUUUGAAUUUUAGAAAAUAUUUUAUACAAGACUACAUUCUUUUAUCCACAAUUCUGAAGUCUCCAAAUCCUGAAAAUCGUUAGCUAUUUAUUUUGUUUCUAUUUUAACAAUUUAAGAUCGUAGGAUGCUUCAGGUGCGGCUAUUUAAAAAAAAAAAAAACAAACCUAAUAAAUGUACCCACAGCUUUUUGAAUUUGAAUGUACAUAUAUUCAAGUUAAAAUACUACCUGAUAUUCAGAAUCCAGUCUAAAGGAAGAGUCUCUAGAAUGAUAGGAAUCAUUUAAACUGGUUCCUCGGUUUCCAGAUACCAUCCUAGCACUUAAAGAGCCAGAGGGUUGAACAGAAAUUCUUCUUGGAAUCCUGGAAGGUUUAGACUCCAUUCUUAAGGUUUCCUGCAAAAUGCAAAUUUGUUAAUUUUAUUUAAGAAGAUAUGCAAGAACCCGUUCCCCCUUCCCCCCUACAUACAACAAUUUAUUCUGAAAAGGUUCAUUUAGUUUGAGACCCAAAUCAAGUCUCAUUAAUGAAAAAGCGACCAUUCAACCACACUAACCGCUCCAGCCCAGCUGCACAGGUAACGGUGCUAGCCUUGCAAGUCUAGGAGCAGAUCUUUCCAGAACCCACACACAUGUGUAGAAGGAUCGUACUCUCAGAACUCCUCAAAACUCCUCCAGUGGAGAAGAGAGGCAGAGAUGGCAGGCAGAGAUAAGAAUCACCAAUUCACAGAGAAGUUCUAUCAGUCACAAUUCACCUGGAGACUAGAUGUACUUGCCUCAACAAGGAGGGAGGAAAGGACUGACUUCAGAAAACUGCCCUGUCUGCAUGCAUGUACAAAAUAAAAUUUAAAAUUAAAACAAUCAAAUAGCCAACUUUUGCAACAAUACUAAAGUGUGAAACUCUUCCCCUUUCUCCUUAAAGGCAGACUUAGUAGCAUCCAACUAAGAUUUCCUACUGCUCAUUUGACAACAUGGAAAGCUUUUCACACAGACCUGUCUUCCAAUGCCUGAACUUUUCCCUCACAUACAUUUGUCUUAGAUUCUCAUGCCAUCCUUCUUAAUAUAUACAAGUUUUAGUAAAUAUAGUCUCACAUCCUUCUGUAUACACCUGGGAAGUCAAAACAUUACAUUCCUUAUCUCACUUUUGAUAAUCAGAUUAAAUCAUCUUCUGUGUAAUUAAUUCUACUUUCCCCAUGAUUUUAUUAAGACAUCAUACUUAGACUUAUUUGCAAGUUUAUUUCCCCUUCCUCAAGAGUGCAUUUCUUUAAGUCAGGAUCAUUUAAACUACUCUAAAUCACUGCCUAGAAUAUGCAAAUGUCCUGGCAGAAAUACAGAUCCUUGUGACCCUCCUUUUGGCUCUCAGAGAUCCCAGCAUCCACAUCAGAUGGCUCACAACCACCUCUAACUCCAGCUCCAGGGGAUCCAUCCCCAUUCUUCUGGCCUCCAAGGACAGCUGCACAGUCUCUGACCCUAACAAUGUGGGAAACAGGUACUCAAAACAUACGAGUAGAAAACCCUAACAAAAUGAAUAUAAAUGAGUAUGUAAUUAUAGCACACAUAAACACAAUAGCUGGUAUUUACCAAAUAUCACAUGGAGUAAGAACUACCCACUACUCAAUGUUCAGUGAGAAACUUAGUCUAUUAGUUCGACCUUAUAAGAAAACUUGCUUAAAAUGAUUGGAAAGUGAUAUUUGAAGUGAAAAGCUCUGAGAUGGAACUGGUUACAUGGUGACUUAAGGAAGUGGCUAAGUUGGUAAGGUACUUGCUGUGCAAGCAUGAACACCUAACCUAAGUUCAGUCUCCAGCACACUCAUAAAAGAAGGGGUUUGGGGGACACACCUAUAAUCACAGUGUUAGGAAGACAGACACAAAAACCCUUAGAACCUGCUGGUGGAAAUCUGCAAGUUCCAGGUCAAUGAAUAAGGUAGAAUGCAAUUCUAGUAGACACCUAUUGUUGACCUCUGGCCUCCACACACACAUGCCCCUACAUAAACAUAAACAUAAACAUAAACACAAACACAAACACACACACACACACACACACACACACACACACACACACACACACCCUUCCCUAACUAAAUUCAGUUCAUGUAAAGUGUGGAACUGAGUACUUUCCACUUUUAUAGAUUCGCAAAUAAGUUUCUAAAUUUCUUCAGAGCAUAUCCCAUAGAAUAGGCAUCAUUAACUCUACCAGAUCCUUACCUAUAAAUCUAUUGAAUUAACACAAAUUAAUUCUGACUGGCUCUAAGAAUACCCAAGACAACAACUACCACCAAGACAAAAAUAAAAUCUUCAUUUUUUCCCUCUCCUGUUUGCUCUUAACCUUAGAUUUACUGAAACUAUAUAUCAUAGCCCUUCCAAGGACUUCCCAUCCCAAAAUAUGAGAGAAAGGCAUACCUGAAACAAUGAACAAACCAAAUACUGAAGUUACUAUGGUCAACAUAAAAACCUUGAUCAUAAUGACCUGCAAUUUGUGCAGAUUUAUGUAAAGAUUAGAAGUAUACACAUAGCCCACAUUCUAGAAGCAUCCAUUUUUCAAAACAAUGCUUAACCGAGGAACCCACCUGUCUGAUAUAAAGAAAUUAUCUCUUGAAAAAAUAUUCUUGUAAAAGACUCCUUUAGAACAAAGGGUGAGAUAGUCACUGAAGACAGGUACCAACUGCCUUCUAAUAAUGCUGGUUGUUGCUAAAGUUUUCUUUCUCUGUCACUCGAGUCACUAUCUCCAUCAGAAGGUAGCAGCUUCAUCUGCUUAACAUUUGUGGGAUUCUCUCAUGCUAAUAUCGCAUACAGUAUGCCACUACAUAUGUGUGCAUACUAAUUUCCCAUUCUGCCAAUGGAAAUUAGAUUGUCUUUUAUUACCAACACCAUUUAUACAAGCACACUGCCUUUAUAAAUCAAAAACCUUGGGGGCUGGCAAGUUGUCUGAGAGGGUAAAGCUCCUGCUACCAAGCCUAAGGACCCAGUUCUACCCCAUGACCUAUACAGUGAAAAGAGAUAACUAACUCACACAAGCUGUCCUCUGGUCUCCACAUGUACCUGGGCACACAACCACACAAAUUUAAGACUCAUGUUUCUCAUAGGUUAAGAGCAUGUAUAAAGAGGCUAUGAAUUUAGUUCCUAGCCCCCACAUAAGGCACUUCAUAACUGCCUGAGCUCCAGCUCCAGGGGGAUACCCAGAUACCUGCACAUACCAGUCCCCCAACACACAAUUUCUUAAAAUUAAUUUUCUUAACAAAGUUAAAAAAUAUAAAAAGUUUUUUCCUAAGACAGGGAUCUGUCCUCUGGAGACAGCCACAUUCAUUAAGAUUACAAAAGGGAAUCAAGAGAUAUCAAAAUACUCUCCCUAACUUUGCAUUAUCAAUUAUUUUUAAGAUCAAAACCUGUUUUAUCGCAUCCUGCAAUUUUCAGGCAAAUAUAGUCAUUUCACUACAUGUCUGAUGUGCAGCUUAGAUAAGAAGACAGCUCUACUAAAACAUUCAAACAGAAGGACAAAGUGUGAGUUUCACCUUUAGCAUAGUCUUCCUAACUUAUCAACUAACUUUCCUAUUAAUCAAAUCUUUCUACUUAAAUUUACAACAGAACUUAUUACAUUACUCUUUGUCUUUAAAACAUCAGCUAGUGACAAAAGACGAACAAAAAGCAGGACAGGCUGUACCUAAGUUACUCUAUUUGACAAGCCUGCAGUUUCUUUCUGCUAGGCUGUUUUCAGAAUAGGUCUAAGACAAAAUGAACAGGUAAUCUGUCUGGGCAGGUAGGUAGCCAUAAUGGAUACACAGAAUGAGAAGAACAGCCCUUAUAUUACAUACUGCAUAAGCAUAGAACAAAACCUAAUAACUUAUUUAUGUUAAUAAAAAUUGCUAUUGUGAAAUUACCAAAAUAAAUCAGGGAUACAUGGACAUAUCAAAUUAUAUCAGAAACAUCAGGCAUUUAGAUUUAUCAAAAACACCAUCCAAUAAAUGAUGCAGUCCUGACCUGAAACAUCAUAUAAACGGAAGGUAUGGUACCUAGGACCACGGCAUAGUGGCAACGCCAACUUGCUAUCAUGACCACUUGUGGUACUUAUUCUGGAAAUGAGCAGGAUUCUUCCAUGUCCUGUUCUUAUGCCUGUCCAUUUCAGAGCUGAGCUAAGCUAAUCUAGCCACGGGACCCUUGCCUAGACUGCACUGACCCCUUUGAUUAGUUGAGUGACUACCUUUAGCACCAGCCCUAGUCUUGACAUCAUCACUGGCCACUUUAACACUUUCUUGGUGUUUCUGUAUUUGCUGAGUAAACCACGGAAUGUAUAAUCAGGUGUUAACAGAAAUUACUAAUUAAGAUGGGAAUGUAAUAAAGAACUUGUGAAAUCAAUGGUAAUCAGCAAAGUAAAGCCAAUAAAACCUAAGUCAUUUUCAAAUUAUUAUUAAAUAAAUUGACUGAAAAAAGACAAAAAUGUUGAUCUGUUUCUGGCUAUGACAGAGCAAAUAUCAGACAGCUUAUCAGUCUGUAACAAGUAAAAAAGUGACGUGUCGAGUAUCUUAUGCAGCUGGGAAUUUCCAGCAAAUGAGAAGAGUCAGAGCAAUGGCAGACGUACUGCAGCCCCAUCAGCAACUACUGCCAACAGCUGUCUUGUGCGCAAGUUUCAUAAAGCAGGAGUAAGUGAAUCAAAAAAAAAAAAAAACCGUUAAAAAAGUGACUAAGGAACUGUGAAGCAAGAAGCAUCACCGGUGGUUUAGGGAUCUGAAGUAGGAGGGUGAUGCUAUCUAUAGUCAGGCCCCUGAAAGAGAUGAAAACCAGAAACAAAGCAUCUAACCUUAGCACAGAACAAAAACCUGGAGACACAACAAACCAAACCCAAACCAACACCACCACUGACGACGGCAACAAACAUCUCAGCAUAACACAAUUUCUAUGGAAACAGUAUGACAAUUCCUCAAGAAUAAAAACAGAAUUUUCAUAGAACCUAGCCAUUCCACUUCUCGGCAUAUACCAAAUUAAAGCAAACCAAGCUAACCAACUGAAAAUAAGGUCUUGGAAUGUUUGCACAUCGAAAUCACACAGCACUGUUGACAACAGACACAAGUGGUAUCAGUAAAUAAACAAACAACAUGUGGUGCAUACACACAACUCAUUAAGAUGCUCAUCAGGUAAGGCGCUGGUACCAAGCUGAAUGGCUUGAGUUGGACCUCUGCAAUCUGCAGGGUAGAAAACCAAUUGCUACAAACUUCUCUGCCCUCCAUGCAUAUGCGGUGGCACACACAUGCCCGUGGGCACACACUUCACCCACACACUAAAAUUAACUGGGUGUGGUAGUACGUAUCUAUAAUCCCAGCACUUAAGAGAUGGCCCAAGCAGAUCUUUUCAAGUUCAAGGCCAGUCUGGUGAGUUCUAGGACAGCCAAGAUACACAGAAAGGAUACAAUGAAAAACCCUAUUCUCAAAGAUCCAAAAAUAAAAUAAAUGUAAAAUGUCAAAAAGCUUUAAAGAGAGCAUUCUAACCUGUGAAGGACUAUUAAUCAGCCUUGACUUGGAGAAAUAAGUCAGACACAAGACGACUAUUGUAUGAUUUUAAAUAUUUAACAUACUCAAAGUCAUAAAGAUAAAAAACCAGAAGGGCAGUGACCAAGAAGAAUCAACACUUACACCUUAAAGUGUGUACAGAUGAAAAGAACUGUGGUGAUAGGCAGUGAUAAUGGUUAUACACACAAGUGUACUUAAUAAAAUUAAUUGUACUCUUAAAAUGCAAUUGGGAUGGUGAGUUUUGUGAUGUAAUUUCACCACAAUAAAAAAAGGGGGGGGGGGGGAGAUGAUGCAUGAGGCUGAAAAUUCCAUUUAUUUAAAAACCUGUAUUUAAAGAGACAGAGCAGUUGGUAGAGUGCUGGUGUAAGCCACAUGAAGACCUACAUUCAAUCCUUAUUACCUAUACAAAAACUGGUGUGGUGGUGUAUGUUUUUAAUCCCAGCCCUGAGGAGGUAGAGAAAUACUGCAUGCCAGUGACAGUGUCCGUCUGUCCAUCCCCCGUCUGUCUAUCUCUGUCUCUGCCUCUCACACACACCUAUACCCACCCACACCCAUACUCACACACAAAACAAACAGUAAAGACAACUCUUGAGGAGUUGUAACCAGACUUUGACCCCCCAGUAUGUGUUUAGAGAAACAGAACGUCAUAGUCUUCCCAGCUCCGGCCCCUCAAAGAUGGAAUAUUUAAUGGGGGGGGGGGGGCUUCGGGACACCUACAGCUAUCACCUCCACGAGCCAACAUGACCAGUUUCUGUAUAUUUUCAUGAAUGGAUCAGUUAAUCUAUUUAACGGAUUUUAAUACUUUUAAUAUUAAAGUUAGUAUUUUUAAUAGUCUAUUUUAAAAUUUUAAUAAUCUACAGACUUAAUAUUGAAACCCAAAGUCUCUUUUCUGGCCCUGUGUCUCCAAAUAUUGUGUGGAUAUUUAAAUUUUCCUAUUUUUAAAUCACUAAAAACUUUAAGAGGUCAGGGCAGAGGCGAUAGCUUGGUUCAGCAGUUAGCUAUGAAGGAUGGAUGUUCUUGCAGAGGAUCUGGGUUCCAUUCUCAGCACCCACGUGAUAAUUCACAACCAUCUGCAGGCCUAUGUAUAGCACACACGCGCGCACACACACAUGCACAGGCAAAUACUCAUGCACAUACAACAGAUCUAAAAUUUUUUUUUUUUUUGGUUCUUUUUUUCGGAGCUGGGGACCGAACCCAGGGCCUUGCGCUUCCUAGGUAAGCGCUCUACCACUGAGCUAAAUCCCCAGCCCCCAGAUCUAAAAUUUUUAAAACACAAAGUCAGAAGUAAGAUUUCUAAUAAUAAAACAUUUGGAACACUCUGAAAAACCCAACUUGCUAUGGCACCAUAUGUAAUGUGAGAAUGCCUGGAAUGUAGGAGGCCCUGGGAGGACCCCUUUCACAGGGAAAAAAGAAGAAAGGAAUGAAGGACAGGAAGACAAAAACAACCAAGCUCACCCAAACUAUCUGUCCCCCAACUCCAUUAGUUAUCAAAAGUGUCAAACCUGCUUUUUAAUAACAAGGAAAACAUCAAGCAUAACUACUCAAUGAACUGAUAUUAUAUAAAAAACAAAAAUAAAACAAUGACCAUGAAAAGAACUUACGGGUGAUGAGAGGGAAACUGUGAAGAAAAGGUCGGAUUAUCAUCCUCGAAGGGUUCAGAUUAAGAUGUGUAAGAAUAUGCAACAAGGAUUGUAAGAUUUGUGGAGAUUCUAAAUGUAAUAUGCUUAAAAAUGAGAAACAAUGAAAGGGGCUAAGCAUAAAAACUGAAAACAAACCAAAGAAACAUUACUCUUCUCAUUGCUGUGACCAAAAACUAAACCAGAACACCAUUGACAAGAACCAGCUGUAGAGAGAAGGGAGACUCUGCCAACUAGAGUCUAAGGGAUGCGGUCCACCUUAGUGGGAAAGGCAUAGCAGCAGCAGAUAAAGCAGCUGGUCACAAAACAUGAGUGAAGGAGGACAGCCUAUCCAACCACAGGGCUCACUCCAAGUGAUGCACUGCCUCCAGCUUAGUUACCACAGGUGCCACUUACCCAAGGUCCCACACUCUCUCCACACAGCUCGAGAUGGAACCCAAAUGUCCUAACACAAUUACAACAAAUAUCUAACACCAUACCACUAAUUCCAGGUCCUAGCUUACUAAACCCAAAAUAAGUGGACCCAGAAUAAAAGUGGUUUACUGUUUGUUUACAAUAUUCUAAGGACGGGGACUGAAGCCGCUAGAUCAUUCUGAUGUGGUUAGCUAGGUGGAGUACUUAGUCUCACAGUCAGGCACACAAAAGGCUCUCCCAAUGACAACUGUCCCCAGGUUUACUUUCCUGACCCUCCUUUUCCACCUAUAAUAUACAUGCACUCCCAUGCAUAAAAUACACAUUAAAAUAUUUUUUAAAAAGUAACUGUGAUUAUCUGGGAAAGGAGGUAUGCUUCUACCUGAAUGACUGCUAAUAUUCAGUCAUAAUAGUAUUAACAGGCUACUGAAUUUUAAUGUGCUAGAAGAUGGAAGAAUUUAAGAAAAAAGGAUAAUGACAACCAAAAAAACCUGCAUGAAAAACAUUCUGAAGUAGUACCAGAAACAAAUCUUUUAGGAAUAUGAAGUUAAACGAAUCCUAAGUGGGGGGAAACAUAUGGGGGGGGAAGGUAGGACCAGAAUGAGGAGUAAAAGUAAAUGACUGAUUUCCUUCUAAGAAAGGUGCACAUACUUCAUUUAUCUAGAAAAGUCUAAGUUUAUGAUCUGUAAACUCCUAAUUUAGGAUUACCCUGCCAAGAUAAGUCUAAACAAGCAUCACACCCAUAUAGCUCUGGCUGUCCUAAAACUCACUCUGUAGACCAGCCUGCCCUGUCUGUUUGUGCCUCUUGAGUGCUGGGAUUAAAUACUAAUGCCCAUACCCACCAACAAGGACACCUAAGUGCCCACACUUUUUAACUGCAGCUGUUUGAUAGUAAAGGCUAUGGUCACAUAACUCAGAAACCUGCCUACUACCUGCUUUGUCAUUUACAUUAACACUUGCUAAGUCCAUACAAAAUUGUUCACUACAAAGUAAAACUUAAUAUAGGAAAUUUAAAGACAUAUAUUUGGAGAAAAAAUAUUCAUGAUCACUGACAUUCAUAAGUUUUAUCUAUGAGUCUUCAACACUAAGAAGUAAAAGCCUAGAGUAUAUUAACAAACAGAUGUGUUACUUUUUCAAGGUAGCUACGAAAAAUAUGAAACAGGACUGUAUCUGUGUUGAGGACUUUGAACUGGAAGACAGCAUUCAUUAAAAGAUACAAGUCUACAACUAGAUUUUUUUGUUUAAGAUAUAUUCUAUCUAUUAUAUAUAUGUGAGUACACUGUAGCUGUCUUCAGACAUAUCAGAAGAGACAUCCAAUCCCAUUACAGAUGGUUGUGAGCCACCAUGUGGUUGCUGGGAAUUGAACUCAGGACCUCUGGAAGAGUAGUCAGUGCUCCUAACCACUGAGCCAUCUCUCCAUUCCUACUUCUGUUUUAAAAGCAGAGUGCUUAAUUGUCUCCCAUAAUUUACUGUGACUAUAUUCAUACCUAGUUCUUGUAGAAAGUAACUUAGGAUUUCUGUUCAAAACAAACCUCUUGAGAGAAGGCAGAGUCCUUCGAGAGAUAUAAUUUGAUACUGUAUGAAACUAUUUUUGGUAAUGCUGCUACAUAAACUGAUUGAAUUUUUACAAUGUAGGUAUUAUGUGAAAACUUAUAUAAUUGGUUGCAUAAGUUGUAGGUCAAAACCACAAAAAAUACCAAAAAAUAAAAUAAAAUGUGGUCCUUGAAAAACGUCUACCCAACAAAGAUCUAGAAAGCGGUUUUUAAAAAUCCAUUUACUUAAUAUAUUUUUAUGAAAUGUUUACUAUGUGCUGAGCACAUUAACUUUAAAAAGGAGAAUGGUAAGUUGAGCAGUAUACAUUAAGAAGUUGCAGUCUGGGGGCUGGGGAUUUAGCUCAGUGGUAGAGCGCUUGCCUAGGAAGCGCAAGGCCCUGGGUUCGGUCCCCAGCUCCGGAAAAAAAAAAAAAAAAGUUGCAGUCUGAUGAAGAACAAACUGUGUAAGUAAGUGUUAAACUCGGAAAAGACAUACAGGCAAGAACAGCAUCAGAACACAGUGUACUCAAUCUGUAUAUAGGACUUGUGCCUCUAAUGUAACCUUUAUCACACUGAACUGAUGAUACCUUGAGGCUCACAAGAAGGCCCAGUCAUGGAAAGUCUACUAAAGUCUGUGGUAUUGUCCCUCAAAAACAAGCAAGCACUGAUAGGCAUAAGGGACAUUUUCUGAUCUCUACAAAUUAUUCUGAAUGCAGAAAGAGGUUGCCACUUUAUUGAACUCUUAACUCCCAAGAUGAAGAUUCUGGGUAAAAACUCUCUUUAAGUAAUCAUCUACAUCUUUAUUGUAUCUUCCCCUUAAGGCAUUUUUAAAAAAUUUAUUUUAGGCCAGGUGUGGUGGUGUAUACAUUUACUUCUAGCAUUUGAGAGGCAGAGACAAGAGGAUCUCUGUGAGUUAGUUUGAGAUAGCCUGCUCUACACAGUAAGUUUCCAGACAGCCAGAGCUACAUGAGACCCUAUCUCAAAAACUGAAAAUAACUAGCUACAUAAAAUUUAUUUAUCUUGAGAUAUAAAGCUAUUUUUAGUAAUGAUUGAUAAAUGCACCAAGAGUUAUGUGUACAAAUUCCCAUGUUGGUGUAUUCUGACAGAUCAGUAGCUAUCAGUAGCUUCCUCCAGCUACUAAGAAGUUAACUUCCUCUUGCUAUAGAUAAAUUAUGAGAAUCUUAGGAAGCCCUUCAGAGCUCCCUAAAAUUAGUUCAUGCUUUUAGUGGUCUGUCAUACUACUCAAGGGGUUCUUUAUACACUUACAUACACACAUUCAUCAACAAGGUUAAGUAUGUUCUAUCCCAUGGAAAUAAUCUUGAAGUCUUCUUUUAGUCCAUGUAAAUAAAGGCCUAAAAACAUGUUUUCACCAGGAAUUAAUAUUUGAAAAUUAAAUCUACAUCUGAUAGUUGUUACCUACCUUCAUAUGCAGGCUGUGACUCAUUUGCACCACACACACAAAGUGUAAAACAAAACAAAAAUCCCUGAGGUCAGCACAAUACUACUGAGAAGAAAGCACACAGCCCUCUAGCCUCACACUCACUAAGGACAAAGCAGUGGCAGUCUACUGCUAGAGGAGCUUCUAGGCAAAUACAAGCUAAACCAGCACACAAAGACAACUGGGAUUAGUACCACAUCUACUUAGAAGGCUGAAAAUAAUGAUUACAAAACCCUCCAAAAAUGGGGCCAAUGAGAAGACUGUUCAAUCCCCAGAAUCCUCAUGGUGGAAGGAACUGGUUCCCACAGGUUGUCCUCUCAUAUGUACACAAGAUAAAAGUUUUAAAAAGAAAACCUCCAUAACAUUUAAAAAGAAAAAUGUUAUGGAAACAAUGGUUUCCAAAAACAAUAUGAAGUCGACUUCACAGAAAUAUUUGAAAUGACUUUUUGAUGACUUAAAAGUAGGAAAACAUGCAGAAAGAUAUUAAAGCAUGUUUAAAAUAAAAGCCAGAGAAUGUUAGGAUAAGUGCAAAUCAAAGCCCAGAAGAGGAACCAGGCAGCGUCCUCAGGGUAACUGCAGAGAGCAGGUCUCUCCUAUGUCCACUGCUCAAGCAUGUGAGCUUCAGUCUCUCCUUCCAAUCUGUUCUACAACUUUCAGAGAUGAAAUAAUUAGUAUCCCAACAAAACCUUUCUGUUUAGCACUAAUAAAUUCACAUAGAUAAUCCUGGCAUUUUGUGAUACUAAAAGGAACUUAAAAAGUGAGUUUCACUGCUUUGUGGAAGCCCAACCCCCACUUAUAGGAAUUCAAUGCUAAAAUGUUGAGAAGCUACUCAAGAUUUUCCAACAAGCUCAGUUAAUAACAAUCAGAAGUCCCCCAAGCUAGCUAGGCAACCAAUCAGGAUAUGGGAAGAGAAUCUGACUCCAAGACAGUGUUGAGGACCCAAAAAGAGAAGAAGUGAAAUGGAUGGCAGAUUUAGUACUUAACUUUCAAAGAAGAAAACAACCUAAAAAAAAAAAAAAAACUAGAGGGAGAGGGACAUGAAUUACUCAGUAAUGCUAAUAAACUAAUGAAUCUUGAUGUUUUCCUUUUUAUUCCAGGAGAUUUAGAAGAAGGAGCAAGAAAGUACAAAGUAGGAUGUUUUAAAGAAUGGGGGCAGAGACACAGAUGCUCAACAGUUAAAACACAGCUUCCCAGCGUCUGUACUGGGGGGCAGGGGUGGGCUCACAGCCAUAGUCCAGGGCCUGGCACCCCUUUCUGGCCUACACAGGCAAUCAACAUUAUGUGCACAAAUACACAGACAUACCCGAUUGGUACAACAGUAGGUGGAAGCUGUGU
Rattus norvegicus (Norway rat) is the source of this 16626-nucleotide non-coding RNA. The record is from RefSeq and is a predicted model, not a curated record. Lineage: Eukaryota; Metazoa; Chordata; Mammalia; Rodentia; Muridae.